ACGGGUGAGUAACACGUAUCCAACCUGCCGUCUACUCUUGGACAGCCUUCUGAAAGGAAGAUUAAUACAAGAUGGCAUCAUGAGUCCGCAUGUUCACAUGAUUAAAGGUAUUCCGGUAGACGAUGGGGAUGCGUUCCAUUAGAUAGUAGGCGGGGUAACGGCCCACCUAGUCUUCGAUGGAUAGGGGUUCUGAGAGGAAGGUCCCCCACAUUGGAACUGAGACACGGCCAA
Molecule: ribosomal RNA, 231 nt
Filed under: uncultured bacterium
Lineage: Bacteria
Description: partial 16S ribosomal RNA
Rfam family: Bacterial small subunit ribosomal RNA
Source: RNAcentral